UUAUUUGAGAGUUUGAUCCUGGCUCAGGAUGAACGCUGGCGGCGUGCCUAACACAUGCAAGUUGAGCGAUUUACUUCGGUAAAGAGCGGCGGACGGGUGAGUAACGCGUGGGUAACCUACCCUGUACACACGGAUAACAUACCGAAAGGUAUGCUAAUACGGGAUAAUAUAUUUGAGAGGCAUCUCUUAAAUAUCAAAGGUGAGCCAGUACAGGAUGGACCCGCGUCUGAUUA
Molecule: ribosomal RNA, 233 nt
Filed under: Clostridioides difficile
Lineage: Bacteria; Bacillati; Bacillota; Clostridia; Peptostreptococcales; Peptostreptococcaceae
Description: partial 16S ribosomal RNA
Rfam family: Bacterial small subunit ribosomal RNA
Source: RNAcentral